AGCUUUGCGCAGUGGCGGUAUCAUAGCCAAAGAGGUCAGACCGAGGCGUGAUUAUUGCUAAUUGU
This 65-nucleotide small nuclear RNA is filed under the name Xenopus tropicalis (tropical clawed frog). RNAcentral's name for it is "Xenopus (Silurana) tropicalis (western clawed frog) U4 spliceosomal RNA". It matches the Rfam family "U4 spliceosomal RNA", at positions 1 to 65 of the family's 138-position model. Rfam says of the family: U4 small nuclear RNA (U4 snRNA) is a component of the major U2-dependent spliceosome. The record is from Rfam by way of RNAcentral. Lineage: Eukaryota; Metazoa; Chordata; Amphibia; Anura; Pipidae.